GACGCUAUGUGCCAGCUAAUUGCCACUUGUUAGGGGACAGUGGCUACCCAUGCAAACCAUGGCUCCUUACACCUUACCUCCAGCCACGCCAAGGGCCCCAACUAAACUAUAACAGGUAAGCCAAACAAUACAAAAAUCAUGGAAAUGAAAUGCAAGCAAUAUGUUAGAGCAUCAAAGUAGUGCAAUAUUUCCAUCAAAUAAUUAAAGGUCUGUAUUCUAUUGUAGGGCCCACAAGACAACAAGAGCGGUGGUGGAGCGUGGCAUAGGGCAGCUUAAGAGGCGCUUUCAUGUUCUCCACGGAGAGGUGCGGCUGAGGCCUGAAAAAGUCAGCAAAGUCAUCAUAGCCUGUGCAAUAUUACACAAUAUUUGCAAGGUUAGACAGAUUGCAGAACCUCUGGAGGAUGGCGAUGAGGAUGAGGAUGGAGACAACGAUGAGGAUGGUGGUGAAGAAGAUAUUCACAUUCCACAGGGGAACCUAGCCCAGAGUGGACUGCCUUACAGGGCAAACUUCACAAAUUUACAUUUCAGGGAUGCUGACGGAGCAGGUGCUGCGGAUGGGAAUGGUGUUUGAUCCGCCGGGCUAUCCUGAGUAGCAGCUGCAGAUGGUUCAGGCGGCAAACUUGAUGGGCCCGGUUCUUGUGAUGGCUCAAUGCUACAGAAAUACAUAGGCCUAGUUUAAUUAUUGUUUUGAUUAAAUUAAUUUAAUACAAUGAGCAUGGAUAACACAUGAAAUGGCUUCUGCAAUGAAUAAACACUGUUGAUAUGAAUAACCCUGUGUCCUACCUUUGCUGCAUUUCAAGGGCCUGCAUCAUUGACGUGUCAAUGCCUGUUGGCAGCCCGGUGACACUGACCUCAGAGUGUCCCAGGACUUGAAAGACAGUGUCGGCCACCUGGGACAGCCGCUUUGCAGGUGGUCCACCCCCUAGAAAGAAACAGUCAAUGAACACAGUAUUUAGGCAUGUAAAUUAACUUUGCCAGCAGGAGCAAGUUGCCAGAUUAUGUGGUAGGCCAUAGUAUUUUGCUCACCUGUGAGUGAGGAUUCCCGCUUGUGUGCUGCAAUCUCAUCUUUUGCCUUGGACUGCAGCACAUACCACCUUUUCUCACAAUCGUCGC
Molecule: long non-coding RNA, 1113 nt
Filed under: Gadus morhua (Atlantic cod)
Lineage: Eukaryota; Metazoa; Chordata; Actinopteri; Gadiformes; Gadidae
Description: lncRNA (ENSGMOG00000033518.1)
Source: RNAcentral